RNAcentral lists this ribosomal RNA (387 nucleotides) under uncultured bacterium. RNAcentral's name for it is "bacterial SSU rRNA". It matches the Rfam family "Bacterial small subunit ribosomal RNA", at positions 28 to 418 of the family's 1533-position model. The record is from RNAcentral.
GACGAACGCUGGCGGCGUGCUUAACACAUGCAAGUCGAGCGGUAAGGCCCUUGUGGGGGUACACGAGCGGCGAACGGGUGAGUAACACGUGGGUGACCUGCCCUCAGCUCUGGGAUAAGCCUGGGAAACUGGGUCUAAUACUGGAUAUGACCUUUCCUCGCAUGGGGUUGGGUGGAAAGUUUUUCGGCUGGGGAUGGGCCCGCGGCCUAUCAGCUUGUUGGUGGGGUGAUGGCCUACCAAGGCGACGACGGGUAGCCGGCCUGAGAGGGCGACCGGCCACACUGGGACUGAGACACGGCCCAGACUCCUACGGGAGGCAGCAGUGGGGAGUCUUGCGCAAUGGGCGAAAGCCUGACGCAGCGACGCCGCGUGCGGGAAGAAGGCCUU